This 96-nucleotide transfer RNA is filed under the name Micromonospora parathelypteridis. RNAcentral describes it as "tRNA-Val". Lineage: Bacteria; Bacillati; Actinomycetota; Actinomycetes; Micromonosporales; Micromonosporaceae. The record is from RNAcentral.
GGGGUUGUAGCUCAGCUAAGAGAGCGCCGGUUCGACAGACCGGAGGGCACGUUGGCGGCGAUCGUGGAUGCGCGACCGCGAUCCCCGCCGGCUCCA